Molecule: long non-coding RNA, 611 nt
Organism: Ornithorhynchus anatinus (platypus)
Lineage: Eukaryota; Metazoa; Chordata; Mammalia; Monotremata; Ornithorhynchidae
Exons: 3
Source: RefSeq, a predicted model, not a curated record
CCCACAGACUCACAUAUGUGGUUUUAGGAGAUUUCUGUCAGUGGGAAAUCAUUCUGAGCAAUUGACGUGAAUAACAAGGGCAAGACUAUCUAGAACAAUUCUAGAUUCUGAACACUGAAAGAAUUCUUAUUUAGAAGACGCUGGGUGGAGAAGAUCCAGUGGACCAGAGGAAGCCACAGAACAGCAUGAGGAGUGAAGGAAAUCUUCAUGUGGGAAAUGCAGCAUGGAAGAAGCAGAUUCCUGAGCUCAAAGAGACUUCCCCAGAGACUUCCCCUACCAAGUUGCAAGACUUAGAUAUGACAUCUGUGUUCAGAGAGACCUGGGAGAAAAAUACAGAAGUUUGGAACAAGUGGGAUACUCAGAAGUCCUCCUGGAGAAACGUUUGAACAGUUUAGCAUGCUUCCUCAAAAUGAUACCCGUGAUGUCAUCACUCAAAACUCUGCAUGCCUGCCUAUCACAUGCAUCUCCUAGGUGGCCACCAAAUCUGAAAGUGUUUUUGAUAUAAAGGCACAUCAGACGCUCAAAUUAUUUAUGUCAACUACCAUUGAGAUAGGAAAAAAUAUGUCGUAAGAACUCAUUACUACUCAAUAAACAGAGAUAAGUUAAGGGUA